CCUCGUUGCAUUACCGGGACUUGUUAGGCUUCGUUCAUCUCGCUCCUUCCGUCACAACUCCUUGGCGCUCCCGCUCGUCCCCGUCUCUUUUCGUCCUGGAUCCCGUGAUUCAAUCCAUCGGCGCGUUCGUCUCGCAUCGUUGCUGUUAUCUUUGGCCUCCAAAUCCUCUUCGAGGCUGAUUUCUAGGGUUUCCUUCGUUCGGGAUCACGUUCUUGUUUCGAUCUGAUGGGGGAAUCGACGAUGGAGGAGAUGCCUCUUCCUGCGCUCUUCGAGCAGGCAAGAAAGAUCCACUCCAUGGCAACGGAGUCCUCUGUCGAUCAGGAGACUUUGAGGAAGGGAAUCGUGGCCCUGCGCCCGCUGCGAUGAGAUGGUAAGCAAGCUGGGGUUAUUUCCUCCAAUGAGACGAAGGAUGAUGUCAGCACUGCUAAUCUGAAAUAUCCCUGGUUCCAUUUUAUCUUGGAGAAUUGACAGAAAAAGUUGCACAAGAUGAUAGGAUACAAGUUCUCAAGAUAUCCCAGGACCAGUUGAAGGAGUUCAUUUCAAUUUGUGAGGCAUUGGAGCUUUUACCUGAAGAUGAGUUAGAGACAUUCAGGCAAGAAGGCGCAGAUACUUUUGCAGCUCAACGGGCAAAAAAGAUUGCUAGGUUCAAACGCCAGAGAGCUGCAGGAGCAAAGCUGCAAGAAAUUAAA
Phoenix dactylifera (date palm) is the source of this 689-nucleotide non-coding RNA. The record is from RefSeq and is a predicted model, not a curated record. Lineage: Eukaryota; Viridiplantae; Streptophyta; Magnoliopsida; Arecales; Arecaceae.